UACGUAGGGUGCAAGCGUUAAUCGGAAUUACUGGGCGUAAAGCGUGCGCAGGCGGCUUUGCAAGACAGAUGUGAAAUCCCCCGGGCUUAACCUGGGAACUGCAUUUGUGACUGCAUGGCUAGAGUGCGGCAGAGGGGGAUGGAAUUCCGCGUGUAGCAGUGAAAUGCGUAGAUAUGCGGAGGAACACCGAUGGCGAAGGCAAUCCCCUGGGCCUGCACUGACGCUCAUGCACGAAAGCGUGGGGAGCAAACAGG
RNAcentral lists this ribosomal RNA (254 nucleotides) under uncultured bacterium. Its description in RNAcentral is "partial 16S ribosomal RNA". It matches the Rfam family "Bacterial small subunit ribosomal RNA", at positions 524 to 776 of the family's 1533-position model. The record is from RNAcentral.